This 5358-nucleotide long non-coding RNA is filed under the name Prunus persica (peach). Its description in RNAcentral is "long non-coding RNA (PPER_LNC005642)". Lineage: Eukaryota; Viridiplantae; Streptophyta; Magnoliopsida; Rosales; Rosaceae. The record is from RNAcentral.
CUCCGAUUAGGACGCAAAAUACCUUUUCGGAAAGGGAACGAAGCCACGAGUGUAACUCACUGCUUUGCUGUGACAUAAGGUGGAUUUUGGCAUUCUGAGGUCGUUUGGCCUUCCAAAACUGCAGUUAAAGUUUGGUAGUUAAUUUUCCAAUAAAUUCUGUUUUGGACAGUUUAGGAGUUACGUUAUUAAGACUCCAAAUUAAUCCUGUUUUUUUUUCAGUUUUAUGUAAUAACUCCCCUAGUAGUUGAAGGGUUGAGGGUUGUUGAGAAAUGUGUAUUUAGACAGGUUUGUCUAAUGUAUCUGGAACUCAACUUUUAAUCAUAUUAUUCCAAGAGAGCUUCUCUUAAUUUUCUGGUGGAAUCCAGUUUUAUUGUUACUCACGGUUUCGCUUGAAACCUUUGUUGCUUGUGCUGCGUCAAGUGGUAUCAGAGCGGGUCUCUCCCGUCUCGGUAUUCUUGUCUUUAUCUUAUUAUGGGUGAUCGAGAAGCUGAUGUCCCAACCCCAAUUACCCGAGCAGAUCUGGACGCUCAAAACCGACGGAUCGACAACCUAACCAACCAAUUUGGGGAGAUGCGAGAAUUGUUGUUGCAAGCUCUUGGUGGCAACAAUAGGAGAGAAGGCAGAGAUAACGAAAGAAGAGAUGGCGAGAGAAGAGACAAUAGGAGGCAACUUAAUCCGGAUAGUGAGUCCGAGUCAGAAGAAGAACUUGAAGAACCACCACCGCCGGCUAAUAAUCCUCGUCAUCAUAAUCGUAAUUACGAGAAUUUUGGCGAUUAUCGGAUUAAAGCAGAAAUUCCUAACUUUUGGGGAAAUCUGAAGAUUGAAGACUUCUUGGAUUGGCUUGUAGAAGUGGAGAGGUUUUUCGAUAUUAUGGAGGUUCCUGAGCAUAAGAUGGUGAAGAUGGUAGCUUUCCGCCUUAAAGCUACAGCGGCUGUUUGGUGGGAUCAAUUGCAAAAUUUACGGCGGAGGCAAGGAAAACAGAGGGUUCGAACAUGGCGGAAGAUGAAGUCGCUUAUGAUGGAACGAUUCUUGCCCACAGAUUAUGAGCAGAUUCUCUACCGUAUGUACCUAGGCUGUGCGCAAGGCACCCGUUCGGUUUCUGAGUAUACCGAAGAGUUCAUGCGUUUGGCAGAGCGAAACCAUUUGACCGAAACUGACAAUCAAAAGGUCGCAAGGUACAACAAUGGGCUGAAAAUUUCCAUCCAGGAAAAAAUUGGCAUGCAGAAUAUAUGGACUUUGCAGGAGGCGAUUAACAUGGCAUUGAAGGCUGAACUGUUGGAGAAGGAGAAACGCCAACCCAACUUCCGCAGGAAUGCGACGGAAGCCUCUGAUUAUACUGCUGGUGCUUCUAGUGGCGCAGGAGAUAAGGGGAAAGCACAGCAGCAGAGUUCUGGAGGGAUGACAAAACCAACAACAGUUGGCCAAAACAAAAACUUCAACGAGGGCAGCAGCCGGAAUUACAACAGAGGGCAGCUCCGAAACCAGUCCCAGAAUCUGUAUGCUAAGCCCAUGACGGACAUAUGUUACCGUUGCCAAAAACCAGGGCAUCGUUCUAAUGUUUGUCCAGAGCGGAAGCAGGCUAACUUUAUCGAAGAAGCCGAUGAAGAUGAAGAAAACGAUGAAGUCGGGGAAAAUGAUUAUGCAGGGGCUGAAUUUGCAGUUGAAGAAGGAAUGGAGAAGAUUACCCUAGUUUUGCAGAGAGUUCUUUUGGCACCAAAGGAGGAGGGGCAGCGUCAUAAUAUUUUUCGUUCCCUCUGCUCAAUCAAAAACAAGGUUUGUGAUGUGAUCGUCGACAAUGGAAGUUGCGAGAAUUUCGUGUCAAAGAAAUUGGUGGAAUAUUUGCAGCUAUCAACGGAACCACAUGUCAGCCCUUACUCACUAGGUUGGGUUAAAAAAGGCCCUUCGGUUCGUGUAGCUGAGACUUGCCGUGUGCCGCUGUCUAUUGGUAAGCAUUACAGAGAUGAUGUCUUAUGUGAUGUUAUUGACAUGGAUGCAUGCCAUAUUUUAUUAGGGCGUCCUUGGCAAUUUGAUGUGGAUGCGACUUUCAAGGGACGAGAUAAUGUCAUUCUGUUCUCUUGGAACAACCGGAAAAUUGCAAUGGCAACUACACAGCCCUCAAAACCCUCUGUUGAGGCCAAGACGAGGAAUUCUAGCUUCCUAACCCUAAUUAGCAACGAGCAGGAGUUGAACGAGGCAGUCAAGGAAGCUGAGUGUUUUUGUCCCUUGGUGUUGAAGGGGUUGUUGAAACUUGGCCGAGGAGGAGGUGACAUUCCACAAGAUGUGCAGCAGAUUUUGUCUCAAUUUCAGGAAUUAUUUUCUGAAAAUCUGCCAAACGAGUUGCCACCUAUGCGGGACAUACAACACCGAAUUGACUUGGUGCCUGGAGCUAGCCUUCCGAAUCUGCCCCAUUAUCGGAUGAGCCCCAAGGAGAAUGACAUCCUCAGAGAGCAGAUUGAAGAAUUACUGCGGAAGGGAUUUAUCAGGGAGAGUUUGAGUCCCUGCGCAGUUCCUGUUUUGUUGGUUCCGAAGAAAGACGAGACUUGGCGAAUGUGUGUUGACAGCUGAGCAAUCAACAAGAUAACAGUGAAGUACAGGUUUCCCAUUCCACGAUUGGAGGAUAUGCUGGAUGUUCUUAGCGGCUCAAAGGUGUUUUCCAAGAUAGAUUUGCGAAGCGGUUAUCACCAGAUUCACAUCAGACCUGGCGACGAAUGGAAAACAGCGUUCAAGAGCAAGGACGGAUUAUUUGAAUGGUUGGUGAUGUCAUUCGGAUUGUCAAAUGCGCCUAGCACCUUCAUGAGACUCAUGAAUCAGGUUCUUCGACCAUUUAUUGGCUCUUUUGUCGUGGUUUAUUUCGAUGACAUUUUAAUUUACAGCACCACAAAAGAAGAGCAUCUUGUGCAUUUGAGGCAAGUUUUAGACGUUUUGAGAGAAAAUAAACUGUUUGUGAACCUUAAAAAAUGUACUUUCUGCACAAAUAAGCUACUGUUCUUGGGUUUUGUUGUUGGUGAGAAUGGUAUCCAGGUUGACGACGAGAAGAUCAAGGCAAUCCUUGACUGGCCAGCUCCAAAAACAGUUUCUGAAGUUCGGAGUUUCCGUGGCUUGGCCACCUUUUACAGGAUAUUUGUGAGGCAUUUCAGCUCUAUCGCUGCACCUAUCACAGAGUGUUUAAAGAAGGGCCAGUUCAGUUGGGGAGAGGAGCAAGAGAGGAGCUUUGCAGAAAUAAAAGAAAAGCUUUGCACCGCGCCAGUUUUAGUCCUUCCAAACUUUGAGAAAGUUUUCGAAGUUGAAUGUGAUGCCAGCGGUGUGGGAGUCGGAGCUGUGCUUUCACAAGACAAGUGGCCAGUUGCAUUCUUCUCUGAAAAAUUGAGCGAUGCACGUCAAAAGUGGAGUACUUAUGACCAAGAGUUCUAUGCGGUUGUUCGGGCUUUGAAGCAAUGGGAGCACUAUCUUAUCCAGAAGGAAUUUGUUUUAUUUGCAGAUCAUCAAGCGUUGAAGUAUAUUAACAGCCAGAAAAAUAUUGAUAAAAUGCAUGCUAGAUGGGUGACUUUCUUGCAGAAAUUCUCGUUCGUUAUCAAGCAUACUUCCGGCAAGACAAAUCGUGUGGCGGAUGCGCUAAGUAGAAGAGCUUCAUUGUUAAUUACGCUGACUCAAGAAGUUGUGGGGUUUGAAUGUCUGAAGGAAUUGUAUGAAGAUGAUGCUGAUUUCCGGGAAAUUUGGACUAAGUGCACCAAUCAAGAGCCGAUGGCAGAUUACUUUCUUAAUGAAGGAUACUUGUUCAAAGGCAACCAGCUGUGUAUUCCAAUUUCCUCUUUGAGGGAGAAGCUCAUUCGGGACUUGCAUGGUGGAGGGUUGAGUGGCCACCUGGGUCGUGAUAAAACAAUUGCAGGGAUGGAAGAGAGAUUUUACUGGCCACAGCUCAAACGAGAUGUUGGAACUAUUGUGCGCAAGUGCUACACUUGUCAAACUUCGAAGGGGCAGGUACAAAACACCGGAUUAUAUAUGCCAUUACCAGUUCCUAACGAUAUUUGGCAGGAUCUUGCUAUGGAUUUUGUCCUCGGCUUGCCCCGAACACAAAGGGGAGUGGAUUCUGUAUUUGUGGUGGUUGAUCGGUUCUCAAAAAUGGCGCAUUUCAUAGCUUGCAAGAAGACUGCUGAUGCAUCAAAUAUAGCCAAACUGUUUUUCAGGGAGGUUGUUCGCUUGCAUGGGGUCCCUACAUCCAUUACAUCCGAUCGUGACACCAAGUUCUUGAGCCAUUUUUGGAUCACCUUGUGGAGGCUGUUUGGGACUACUUUGAAUCGUAGCAGCACUGCCCAUCCCCAAACCGAUGGCCAGACUGAGGUUACAAACCGAACAUUGGGCAAUAUGGUACGCAGCGUCUGUGGAGAGAAGCCAAAACAAUGGGAUUAUGCAUUACCGCAGGUGGAGUUUGCGUAUAACAGUGCAGUCCAUAGUGCCACCGGGAAGUCUCCAUUUUCCAUUGUUUAUACUGCUAUGCCUAACCAUGUUGUAGAUUUGGUGAAACUGCCUAGAGGCCAACAAACCAGUGUGGCAGCAAAAAAUUUGGCGGAGGAAGUAGUGGCUGUUCGAGAUGAAGUCAAGCAGAAACUUGAGCAAACUAAUGCUAAGUACAAAGCUGCUGCGGAUAAGCAUAGGCGAGUUAAAGUGUUUCAGGAAGGUGAUUCUGUGAUGAUAUUUCUGAGGAAGGAGAGGUUUCCAGUUGGCACAUAUAGCAAGCUUAAACCAAAAAAAUAUGGUCCUUACAAAGUGCUCAAACGGAUCAAUGAUAAUGCCUAUGUUAUUGAGUUACCGGAUUCCAUGGGAAUAUCCAAUAUUUUUAAUGUUGCAGAUUUAUAUGAGUUCCGUGAAGAUGAGGUCCUUUAUCCAAAUCAUAACUCGGGGUCGAGUUCCUCGGAGGUGGAGGGGACUGAUGUAGAACAGAUGGCAGAUUUUAUCGCGGUUGAGCUAGAAAAAGGACGUAGCGGGAAUAUGCAGUUUUGUCGUCCAAGCUCCGAUUAGGACGCAAAAUACCUUUUCGGAAAGGGAACGAAGCCACGAGUGUAACUCACAGCUUUGCUGUGACAUAAGGUGGAUUUUGGCAUUCUGAGGUCGUUUGGCCUUCCAAAACUGCAGUUAAAGUUUGGUAGUUAAUUUUCCAAUAAAUUCUGUUUUGGACAGUUUAGGAGUUACGUUAUUAAGACUCCAAAUUAAUCCUGUUUUUUUCAGUUUUAUGUAAUAACUCCCCUAGUAGUUGAAGGGUUGAGGGUUGUUGAGAAAUGUGUAUUUAGACAGGUUUGUCUAAUGUAUCUGGAACUCAACUUUUAAUCAUAUUAUUCCAAGAGAGCUUCUCUUAAUUUUCUG